Anthonomus grandis grandis is the source of this 998-nucleotide long non-coding RNA. RefSeq lists it as uncharacterized. Lineage: Eukaryota; Metazoa; Arthropoda; Insecta; Coleoptera; Curculionidae. The record is from RefSeq and is a predicted model, not a curated record. The transcript has 3 exons.
GUGUUUUUUUUAAUUUUUAGGUUGAUAGUCUCCUCCCUAAUGAAACAUUCCUACUUUAUAGGUGCUUCAUUUGUUUUUAGAUCGAGAUGGUAAUAAAUGUCUCCUCCCUAAUGAAACAUCCCUACUUUAUGGGUGUUUUAUUUUUUUUUAAGUUGGUAAGAUAAAAAUCUCCUCCUCUUUAAUGAAACAUCCCUACUUUAUGGGUGUUUCAUUUGUUUUUAAGUUGCUAGGGUAAUAAACUCUGGUGUUUUUUUUAUUUUUAGGUUGGUAUAGUGAUAAACGUCUCCUCCCUAAUGAAACAUUCCUACUUUAUGGGUGUUUUAUUUAUUUUUAAUGUUGGUAAGAUAAAAAAACUUCUCUUCAAUAAAACAUCCCUACUUUAUUGAUGCUUCAUUUGUUUUUAGGUCGGCAUGGUAAUAAAUGUCUCCUCCCUAAUGAAACAUCCCUACUUUAUAGGUGCUUCAUUUGUUUUUAGAUUGAUAUGGUAAUAAAUGUCUCCUCCUUAAUGAAACAUCCCUACUUUAUGGGUGUUUCAUUAAUUUUUAAGUUGGUAUGGUAAUAAAUGUCUCCUCCCUAAUGAAACAUCUCUACUUUAUGAGUGUUUCAUUUGUUUUUAAGUUGCUAUGGUAAUAAACUUUGGUGUUUUUUUUAUUUUUAGGUUGGUAUAGUGAUAAACGUCUCCUCCUUAAUGAAACAUCCCUACUUUAUAGGUGCUUCAUUUGUUUUUAGAUUGAUAUGGUAAUAAAUGUCUCCUCCCUAAUGAAACAUUCCUACUUUAUGGGUGCUUCAUUUGUUUUUAAGUUGGUAUGGUAAUAAAUGUCUCCUCCUUAAUGAAACAUCCCUACUUUAUGGGUGUUUUAUUUAUUUUUAAGUUGGUAAGAUAAAAAUCUCCUCCUCUUUAAUGAAACAUCCCUACUUUAUGGGUGUUUCAUUUGUUUUUAAAUUGCUAUGGUAAUUAAACUGUGGUGUUUUUUUUUAUUUUAGGUUGGUAUAGUAAU